Molecule: ribosomal RNA, 253 nt
Filed under: uncultured bacterium
Lineage: Bacteria
Description: partial 16S ribosomal RNA
Rfam family: Bacterial small subunit ribosomal RNA
Source: RNAcentral
UACGAAGGGGGCUAGCGUUGUUCGGAAUUACUGGGCGUAAAGCGUGCGCAGGCGGUUUGCUAAGACCGAUGUGAAAUCCCCGGGCUUAACCUGGGAACUGCAUUGGUGACUGGCAGGCUAGAGUAUGGCAGAGGGGGGUAGAAUUCCACGUGUAGCAGUGAAAUGCGUAGAGAUGUGGAGGAAUACCGAUGGCGAAGGCAGCCCCCUGGGCCAAUACUGACGCUCAUGCACGAAAGCGUGGGGAGCAAACAGG